CGCGUAGGUGGCCAAUUAAGUCAAAUGUGAAAUCCCCGAGCUUAACUUGGGAAUUGCAUUCGAUACUGGUUGGCUAGAGUAUGGGAGAGGAUGGUAGAAUUCCAGGUGUAGCGGUGAAAUGCGUAGAGAUCUGGAGGAAUACCGAUGGCGAAGGCAGCCAUCUGGCCUAAUACUGACACUGAGGGACGAAAGCUAGGGGAGCGAAAGGGAUUAGAUACCCCAGUA
This 225-nucleotide ribosomal RNA is filed under the name uncultured Acinetobacter sp. RNAcentral's name for it is "partial 16S ribosomal RNA". It matches the Rfam family "Bacterial small subunit ribosomal RNA", at positions 568 to 792 of the family's 1533-position model. Lineage: Bacteria; Pseudomonadati; Pseudomonadota; Gammaproteobacteria; Moraxellales; Moraxellaceae. The record is from RNAcentral.